RNAcentral lists this ribosomal RNA (465 nucleotides) under uncultured bacterium. Its description in RNAcentral is "partial 16S ribosomal RNA". It matches the Rfam family "Bacterial small subunit ribosomal RNA", at positions 339 to 795 of the family's 1533-position model. The record is from RNAcentral.
CUACGGGAGGCUGCAGUGGGGAAUAUUGCACAAUGGGCGCAAGCCUGAUGCAGCCAUGCCGCGUGUAUGAAGAAGGCCUUCGGGUUGUAAAGUACUUUCAGCGGGGAGGAAGGGAGUAAAGUUAAUACCUUUGCUCAUUGACGUUACCCGCAGAAGAAGCACCGGCUAACUCCGUGCCAGCAGCCGCGGUAAUACGGAGGGUGGCAAGCGUUAAUCGGAAUUACUGGGCGUAAAGCGCACGCAGGCGGUUUGUUAAGUCAGAUGUGAAAUCCCCGGGCUCAACCUGGGAACUGCAUCUGAUACUGGCAAGCUUGAGUCUCGUAGAGGGGGGUAGAAUUCCAGGUGUAGCGGUGAAAUGCGUAGAGAUCUGGAGGAGUACCGGUGGCGAAGGCGGCCCCCUGGACGAAGACUGACGCUCAGGUGCGAAAGCGUGGGGAGCAAACAGGAUUAGAUACCCUCGUAGUC